RNAcentral lists this ribosomal RNA (380 nucleotides) under uncultured cyanobacterium. RNAcentral's name for it is "bacterial SSU rRNA". It matches the Rfam family "Bacterial small subunit ribosomal RNA", at positions 376 to 770 of the family's 1533-position model. The record is from RNAcentral. Lineage: Bacteria; Bacillati; Cyanobacteriota.
CGAAAGCCUGACGGAGCAAGACCGCGUGAGGGAGGAAGGCUCUUGGGUUGUAAACCCCUUUUAUCUGGGAAGAACAAAAUGACGGUACCAGAUGAAUAAGCCUCGGCUAACUCCGUGCCAGCAGCCGCGGUAAUACGGAGGAGGUAAGCGUUAUCCGGAAUUAUUGGGCGUAAAGCGUCCGCAGGUGGCGAUUCAAGUCUGCUGUCAAAGCACGGGGCUUAACUCCGUUAAGGCAGUGGAAACUGAAGAGCUAGAGUGCCGUAGGGGUAGAGGGAAUUCCCGGUGUAGCGGUGAAAUGCGUAGAGAUCGGGAAGAACAUCGGUGGCGAAAGCGCUUUGCUAGACCGAAACUGACACUCAGGGACGAAAGCUAGGGGAGCG